AGAGUCAUCCAUAAAAAGCUUCUAACUUUAAAUAAAGCAUUAACAUGUUUAUGACUCUA
RNAcentral lists this transfer RNA (59 nucleotides) under Cautires sp. UPOL VK0206. Its description in RNAcentral is "tRNA-Ser". Lineage: Eukaryota; Metazoa; Arthropoda; Insecta; Coleoptera; Lycidae. The record is from RNAcentral.